GGCGCACGGGUGCGUAACGCGUGGGAAUCUGCCCUUGGGUUCGGAAUAACUCGCCGAAAGGCGUGCUAAUACCGGAUAACGACGUAAGUCCAAAGAUUUAUCGCCCAGGGAUGAGCCCGCGUAGGAUUAGCUAGUUGGUGUGGUAAAGGCGCACCAAGGCGACGAUCAGUAGCUGGUCUGAGAGGAUGAUCAGCCACACUGGGACUGAGACACGGCCCAGACUCCUACGGGAGGCAGCAGUGGGGAAUAUUGGACAAUGGGCGAAAGCCUGAUCCAGCCAUGCCGCGUGGGUGAAGAAGGUCUUCGGAUUGUAAAGCCCUUUCGGCGGGGACGAUGAUGACGGUACCCGCAGAAGAAGCCCCGGCUAACUUCGUGCCAGCAGCCGCGGUAAU
RNAcentral lists this ribosomal RNA (392 nucleotides) under uncultured bacterium. Its description in RNAcentral is "bacterial SSU rRNA". It matches the Rfam family "Bacterial small subunit ribosomal RNA", at positions 97 to 524 of the family's 1533-position model. The record is from RNAcentral.